UGGGGAAUAUUGGACAAUGGGCGCAAGCCUGAUCCAGCAAUGCCGCGUGAGUGAAGAAGGCCUUAGGGUUGUAAAACUCUUUCACCGGGGAAGAUAAUGACGGUACCGGAGAAGAAGCCCCGGCUAACUCCGUGCCAGCAGCCGCGGUAAUACGGAGGGGGCUAGCGAUGUUCUGAAUUACUGGGCGUAAAGCGCGCGUAGGCGGCUUGGUAAGUUGGAGGUGAAAUCCCGAAGCUCAACUUCGGAACUGCCUUAAAAACUGCUUGGCUAGAGGCAAGGAGAGGAGAGCGGAAUACCCAGUGUAUAGGUGAAAUUCGUAGAUAUUGGGUGUAACACCGGUGGCGAAGGCGGCUCUCUGGCCUUGAUCUGACGCUAAGGCGCGAAAGCGUGGGGCGCAAACAGGAUUAGAUACCCCCGUAGUCC
Molecule: ribosomal RNA, 423 nt
Filed under: uncultured prokaryote
Description: bacterial SSU rRNA
Rfam family: Bacterial small subunit ribosomal RNA
Source: RNAcentral